Long non-coding RNA from Triticum aestivum (bread wheat), 1951 nucleotides. RefSeq lists it as uncharacterized. NCBI's taxonomy places the organism in Eukaryota, Viridiplantae, Streptophyta, Magnoliopsida, Poales, Poaceae. The transcript has 5 exons. The record is from RefSeq and is a predicted model, not a curated record.
UGCCUUUUGUGCUGACCCACGGAUCAGAUUACGACCUCCCUCAAUACGUUAGGGCCUCCGGCGGCUGCGCGUUGCCCCGGCGACUCCGGGUCCGGGAUGGAAGAUGUGGGGCUUGAGUUCUUGUUGGAUGCCGUCGACUGGUUCCCACUAUGGGAGGAAUUCACCGACAGCCUUGAACAUCCAGGUCCGCUCCCUCUGGCAUAGUUAACGCCAGGUCAAGCCAACCCUGGCGUGCCGGCGGAUUCAAAUGCCGGUUCUGGAUGGGGCAGCAAGUUUGGUGGCGUUGGCCCGGAGAAGGCAGAGGGCGGCAUGCGCCAGCAACGGGAGGCAUCUCCCACUGGGUCUGCGCAGUCAACUGACAGGGUCAACCCAGAGGCGCCCGGAUGGACAAAGAGUUCAUGUUCCCAGUGCUCUUCAUGGAUGUAGGACCCAGAUAAGCUCAGCGCCUAGUCGUCGUUAGUUUUCCGUUAGAAAAAUUGCAGGCAUGCGGGUCCGAUGUGACAGCCCAUGGACAUGUAUUGAAUUUGUAAUUCGAGACCUAAGCAGACUAAGUAAAUGUGUGGUUCUAUGGGCAGAUUACCGUCUAUCUGAAUUCGGAAUAUUAUAGUUAGUGUUGGUAAUUCGGUCUCUUGCUUUAGGUAACCAACUUGCGUGCCUGUGUUUAAGGGACAAAAAUCCCUGACUGAAUUUGAGAGUUUCAUUGCUGUGGGUGACAGAAAUUAGGCCAUUUCUUUGCAGCAAUUACCACGCAUGUUUGGCGCAAACUUUGAUGAGUUGUCUGAAUUUGCAGUGUUAUAACCAGUGGUGAUUUGGUGUCUUGCUUUAGAUAAUCCGAUUUGUGUUUAUUGGGCUAUUCCUGUGCAGCAAAGUGUUGUGAGUUUUUGUCAAAAACUAUGAUGAGCUAUCUGAAUUCCCAAUGUUACUACUAGUGGUGCUGAUGGGGUCUCAACUUUAUGUAAGCGACUUGUGUAUAAGGGACAGAAAUCGGUCACUGAAUUUUGAAGUACCACUGCGACGGGGAUAAGUUUGUGUAGGUUUUGGGUGUCGGAGACGACCGGCGUGAGACGGAUCAGCCGGCAAGCUAAAUGACUGGGUCGUGACCGCAAAAGCUGUUCCGCCUCUACCCAGCUGUCGUCUCAUUUAAUGCGCCCACAAGCUGGCUUUAUUUGCCUACAAUACCUCUGCUAUACAGGCAGAAAAACAUCAACCAGCACAGAUCCACAUGUUAGCGAAUGGUGAUGAUUUCAGGAGCAUCUGAGCCUGGGCUCCGAAUUGAAUAUCCGAUGGAAAGUGACCUACUUUGCUCAAGUUAGCUCAUGCACAUCCAUCGGAUCUAAUGGAGAAAAUGAUGCAUGAAUAUAGAGGAUGAUUGUCUUGUUUGAUGUGCUAAUGUGCUGAAGCAAUUCAACAGAUGAAGGAAUGGCUGCUGCAGUUCUCACCGAGUUUGUUCCAUUGCAUCAAUAUGGCCAGCACUAUUUAUAUGUUGUCUGAAAAGAAAAAACUUCUCAUGCUAGUCUAGCCCAGUUUCUACUGUAGGAAGAUGCUUCUGAAUACCUAAUCCAGGGAAUUUCAGCUUAUCCUAGUGUUAUUUGAAGUCAAAUUUCUUUUCCAGUGUUGUUUGAAAUCAAAUUUCUUUCUUCAUAUGCUUGUGCUUGAAAGUUCUUCUCUUCGGCAAUGUGUGUUUCAGACCCAAGUAUCACCUCAACUUAUAUGUUAGUGAGUUUCUGUAUUCUUCUCGGUUGUUGUAUGAAAAGGCUGUCAUUAAACUCGAUGUAUUGUGUGGCAUUGGGAGUUUCAGCCAUAAGUAUGACCUAUACUUAUAUUUUUGUGUUUUCUUUUCAGCUGUGGUUUGAAAAGCAUGUCAUUGCUGUCGAUCUAAAGUGACCAUGAUCCACUUAUGCUCUGUUUAUUCUCGAGAUUAAUAGCAGGAAAUUAUUGUGGGCAAGUUUGG